AGAGUUUGAUCAUGGCUCAGGACGAACGCUGGCGGCGUGCUUAACACAUGCAAGUCGCGGGGGCGGAGCAAUCCGCCACCGGCGGACGGGUGCGUAACACGUAAGUAACCUGCCCAGAAGUGGGGAAUAACUGGCCGAAAGGCUGGCUAAUACCGCAUGUGUUGGUCUUUCUCUGGAGAGGUCAAUAAAGGCGAAAGUCGCUUCUGGAGGGGCUUGCGGCCGAUUAGUUAGUUGGUGGGGUAAUGGCCUACCAAGACCGCGAUCGGUAGCUGGUCUGAGAGGACGGACAGCCACACGGGGACUGAGAUACGGCCCCGACUCCUACGGGAGGCAGCAGCUAGGAAUCUUGGGAAUGGGCGAAAGCCUGACCCAGCAACGCCGCGUGGGCGAUGAAGGCCUUCGGGUCGUAAAGCCCUUUUGCAGGGGACGAUGAUGACGGUACCCUGCGAAUAAGCCACGGCUAACUACGUGCCAGCAGCCGCGGUAAUACGUAGGUGGCGAGCGUUGUCCGGAUUUACUGGGCGUAAAGGGCGUGCAGGCGGUCUGUUAAGUCUAGGGUGAAAGCUCCCGGCUCAACUGGGAGAGGUCCUUGGAUACUGGCGGACUUGAGGGAGGCAGAGGAGAAUGGAAUUCCCGGUGUAGUGGUGAUAUGCGUAGAUAUCGGGAGGAACACCAGUGGCGAAGGCGGUUCUCUGGGCCUUACCUGACGCUGAGACGCGAAAGCGUGGGGAGCGAACCGGAUUAGAUACCCUCGUAGUCC
Molecule: ribosomal RNA, 760 nt
Filed under: uncultured soil bacterium
Lineage: Bacteria
Description: bacterial SSU rRNA
Rfam family: Bacterial small subunit ribosomal RNA
Source: RNAcentral